UUCUAUGUUUUCUAGGGUUCCGCAAUAAUGGAUUGGUCUGGUCCAAGAGAAAACACGCAGUAUAUACUGUGACACGGAGGGACAAAAGCCUGGGAGAU
Molecule: small RNA, 98 nt
Filed under: Gracilibacillus halophilus
Lineage: Bacteria; Bacillati; Bacillota; Bacilli; Caryophanales; Bacillaceae
Also listed under: 1 other name
Description: Guanidine-I sequence
Rfam family: Guanidine-I riboswitch aptamer
About the family: This family represents a conserved RNA structure found upstream of the ykkC and yxkD genes in Bacillus subtilis and related genes in other bacteria. The function of this family is unclear although it has been suggested that it may function to switch on efflux pumps and detoxification systems in response to harmful environmental molecules.
Source: RNAcentral